UACGGGAGGCAGCAGUGGGGAAUAUUGCACAAUGGGCGCAAGCCUGAUGCAGCCAUGCCGCGUGUAUGAAGAAGGCCUUCGGGUUGUAAAGUACUUUCAGUCGUGAGGAAGGUGUUAAGGUUAAUAACCUUAGCAAUUGACGUUAGCGACAGAAGAAGCACCGGCUAACUCCGUGCCAGCAGCCGCGGUAAUACGGAGGGUGCGAGCGUUAAUCGGAAUUACUGGGCGUAAAGGGCACGCAGGCGGUUAAUUAAGUUGGAUGUGAAAUCCCCGGGCUUAACCUGGGAAUGGCAUUCAAGACUGGUUAGCUAGAGUCUUGUAGAGGGGGUAGAAUUCCAUGUGUAGCGGUGAAAUGCGUAGAGAUGUGGAGGAAUACCGGUGGCGAAGGCGGCCCCUGGGACAAAGGACUGACGCUCAUGUGCGAAAGCUGGGGAGCAAACAGGGAUUAGAUACC
Molecule: ribosomal RNA, 454 nt
Filed under: uncultured bacterium
Lineage: Bacteria
Description: bacterial SSU rRNA
Rfam family: Bacterial small subunit ribosomal RNA
Source: RNAcentral